This 433-nucleotide ribosomal RNA is filed under the name uncultured bacterium. RNAcentral describes it as "partial 16S ribosomal RNA". It matches the Rfam family "Bacterial small subunit ribosomal RNA", at positions 29 to 507 of the family's 1533-position model. The record is from RNAcentral.
AGCGAACGCUGGCGGCAUGCCUAACACAUGCAAGUCGAAUGAGACCUUCGGGUCUAGUGGCGCACGGGUGCGUAACGCGUGGGAAUCUGCCCUUGGGUUCGGGAUAACAGUUGGAAACGACUGCUAAUACCGGAUGAUGACUUCGGUCCAAAGAUUUAUCGCCCAGGGAUGAGCCCGCGUCGGAUUAGCUAGUUGGUGAGGUAAGAGCUCACCAAGGCGACGAUCCGUAGCUGGUCUGAGAGGAUGAUCAGCCACACUGGGACUGAGACACGGCCCAGACUCCUACGGGAGGCAGAAGUGGGGAAUAUUGGACAAUGGGCGAAAGCCUGAUCCAGCAAUGCCGCGUGAGUGAUGAAGGCCUUAGGGUUGUAAAGCUCUUUUACCCGGGAUGAUAAUGACAGUACCGGGAGAAUAAGCCCCGGCUAACUCCGUG